This 238-nucleotide long non-coding RNA is filed under the name Lathyrus oleraceus (garden pea). RNAcentral's name for it is "Pisum sativum (pea) long non-coding RNA (PSAT_LNC036543)". The record is from RNAcentral. Lineage: Eukaryota; Viridiplantae; Streptophyta; Magnoliopsida; Fabales; Fabaceae.
GCAAAGCAAUGCAAGUUCUCAAAGAACUAUUAGCAACUAAUGGUACCUGAAAUCAAUCAAGUAAAAUCAGUAUACAACUCAAAUUCAAAACCAAUAUAAGAUAAGGAUCAACAGUCAACUCAAAUGUGCAAUGCACAAAGCUCAAAGCAUAUGAGCUAAGCAUCCUACAAAACAAACAAGUUAGUUCAUGAUAAUCAACCAAACUCAAUCAACUUGCAUUAAUCUCCUUAAAGCAUUU